ACUUGGAAGCACCUUCUCUGUUUCUCAGGUGGUGAAAAGAGGUACCAAACACCAUGGAAAAUCUGUGUUUUCCUCUUUGGCUUUCUAUGCUAGCAAAGCUCCAACUAAUUUCUGAUCUGUGAAGACAACAGUAGAUGAAGAACAAAAGUGAAGGAUACUUCUGCAGCGCUGAGAGUUGGAUACUCCACAGGAAUCAGAGACAAUUGGGUUAGAAUCCAGGAGAGUGGUUCAAGUGGAACAAGAAAAAUAGCCUCAGAAAUGAUGGGAUGAACCCAGGAAAUGGUUCAGAAAAUGCCAAGACUGUGAGGGCAACCAAGGCAGAAGAGCAGGAACUCGGUUAGAGCUGUAUCAGCCAAGUGGGCCCACCAAACAAGACGCUGCUCCCUGGGAAUAUUCUUCCUGCACCCCCAUGUGGAGCUUGCUCUGCAGCAGCAGCCUUUCACCAUCCUUACAACUGUACAAGCAGAAAAGUAGUGAGCAAACCACCAACAAGGAAGAGAAGUGUGCAAGACUUUUGGAAUGGAGUUGACUAUAAAAACAAUUCUGACAGUCUGACCCAUAUGUUUAGUUGUGGGUUUCAUGUCACAUAAUAUCACAGGCUUUCUGCUUUCAUGCAUUAACCCUAACAAGAAAAAACUAAUGGGGAUGUGAUUUGACCCAUCACAGAGUGUUCACAACAAAAUUACUGUAUUUGGGUUUUGGGUUGUUUUUUUGUUUUUUUUUUUCAAUGCAUAAUGCAAAUAUAAAGCAGGCAAGAAAGACUGAGCAGUGAGGAUUUGCUCUGGUCUGGGCAAGUUUCUGUUGGUAAGUAAUUAAUCUUCCCAAAAGAGACUGCUCUUUCAUUUACCCCAAAACGUACUGUGAUUUAUGUUAUAAAGGAAUAAAGAUUUGUAGGAUGCAUCUGUAGCA
Molecule: long non-coding RNA, 909 nt
Filed under: Parus major (Great Tit)
Lineage: Eukaryota; Metazoa; Chordata; Aves; Passeriformes; Paridae
Description: lncRNA (ENSPMJG00000014656.1)
Source: RNAcentral